Molecule: ribosomal RNA, 113 nt
Filed under: uncultured bacterium
Lineage: Bacteria
Description: partial 16S ribosomal RNA
Rfam family: Bacterial small subunit ribosomal RNA
Source: RNAcentral
CUCCCGGGCCUUGUACACACCGCCCGUCACACCACGAAAGUCGGUAACACCCGAAGCCAGUGGCCCAACCCUUUGGGAGGGAGCUGUCGAAGGUGGGAUCGGCGAUUGGGGUG